RNAcentral lists this ribosomal RNA (465 nucleotides) under Vreelandella stevensii. RNAcentral's name for it is "partial 16S ribosomal RNA". It matches the Rfam family "Bacterial small subunit ribosomal RNA", at positions 338 to 795 of the family's 1533-position model. Lineage: Bacteria; Pseudomonadati; Pseudomonadota; Gammaproteobacteria; Oceanospirillales; Halomonadaceae. The record is from RNAcentral.
CCUACGGGAGGCAGCAGUAGGGAAUCUUCCGCAAUGGACGAAAGUCUGACGGAGCAACGCCGCGUGAACGAAGAAGGUUUUCGGAUCGUAAAGUUCUGUUGUUAGAGAAGAACACGCAGAACAGUAACUGGUUCUGCGCUGACGGUAUCUAACCAGAAAGUCACGGCUAACUACGUGCCAGCAGCCGCGGUAAUACGUAGGUGACAAGCGUUGUCCGGAUUUAUUGGGCGUAAAGCGAGCGCAGGCGGUCUUUUAAGUCUGAUGUGAAAGCCCACGGCUCAACCGUGGAUGGUCAUUGGAAACUGGAAGACUUGAAUGCAGAAGAGGUAAGUGGAAUUCCAUGUGUAGCGGUGAAAUGCGUAGAUAUAUGGAAGAACACCAGUGGCGAAGGCGGCUGUCUGGUCUGUAACUGACGCUGAGGCUCGAAAGUAUGGGGAGCGAACAGGAUUAGAUACCCGAGUAGUC